GUGUGUUUCUGUCAGAGUCGUGUGAUUGUGAUUUUAUUUAUUAUUGAUCACAGAUCAGGUAUUGGAGCUCGGCAGCAGACUGAACUCCAGCCAGCUUCACCUGGACGAGCUGAGUAGAAUCUGUGCAGGUGAGUCACAUGAUGUGAUGACGUCAGCAGAGUCGUUUUAAAAUGUGAGAAUGAGAGUUAAUGAUUUCAUCAUGUUCAGAUCAAACAGGUCGACUGACGUCUGUGGAGGGACGAGUGGACAAGCUGAAGACUGAAAACACAGGUGACACACCUGCGCUUCAUCACCAUCAGUGUUUGAGUGGUUUAUCUUCAGGACAUGAAUCUGUGUGUCAGAACUUUAGAUCUCAGCGGUUGAUGAACUCUGUGUGAUUAAACUCUUUCAGCUCUGAGUGACAGACUGAGUGUUGGUGAACGACGACUGCACGAGCUGCAGACUGAAAACACAGAUCAAACCUUUAAACUGACGAGCCUGCAGGGGUACCAGAACCGCAGCCAGAGUCUGAACACAGGUACGUCAGUCCGGUCCACUGUCAGGUCAGCAGUUAGUCCGUGGAGACACUCACUUCCUGUUUCCUGUUCAGCUUUACAGCUCAGACUGAGUGUCAGUGAGAAGCACCUGGAGCACCUGCAGACGGAGAACACAGUUCAGUCCGAUCGACUUUCCCUGAUGGAGUCCAGACUGACAGACGGACUCAACAACACCAAAGGUCCACUUGGAUUUAUAUUAAUAUCACAUUUUGACAUCGUCUGUCCAGAUAUUGAUUAGUUAAUGGUUAUUUAUAAUUCGUACUUUACUGAAGAGAUCAAACUGUUGUGUUGAUCAGCUCUGGAGGUCCGACUGAGAUCUGCUGAGACACACCUGGAACACCUGGAGUACCUGGUGAAUCACACUGCAGGUAACAUCACCAUCCCACUAAGCUUCAGUCCAAAGCAUAGUUCAUCAUUAUGUAAGUACAUUGAGAACUGGUCCUGAACCGGUCCUGAACCGGUCCUGAACCGGUCCUGAACUGGUCCUUCUGACAUGGAAGGUAAUCUUAAGGGUGCUUUAAUGGAAACCACAGAGGAGGAAACUCUUGGUGGAUCUCAGAAGAACUUUAUGUUCUGCAGGUUGUUAAAUGUUUUAAGUGUUUUCAGUAGGCGAGGUGGAGCUGUCGGCCGUCACCGCGAGGCUGAUGGUCACGGAGCAGCAGCUGGACGAGCUGACGGCUGAACUCUCAGGUGAUGUUGGAUCCUUCAGCUGCUGUUUGUCUGGUCCUGCUUCAGUCUCUGAUGGUUCUGUGUUUGUGUUGCAGACAGACUGACGGCAGCUGACAGACACGCUGAAGGUACCAUCCCUUCUCUAUCGCAACGUUUCUGUGGUUAUUACAAUACUAUAGAAAAUAGAAAAGCUGUUCAUCAGAUGUGUUUCCUGUCAGAUCUGCAGGUCCGACUGAGCGCCACUGAGGCUGCAACCCACCAGCUGAAGACCCUCAACCAGGGUAGAGUCCAGAAUACGACAUGAAGCUGCCUGUGACCAGUGUCAGUCCAACAGUACCAGAAAUGUUCAGUGACCUCCAUGUUGUUUUUUCUCUCCGCAGAUCAGUCCGCCCUGCUGACAGAAAUCCGGUCCAGACUAGAUGCUACAGAGAGCCUCAGCUCAGGUGAGUCUUCAAGGUUCAGGUGUUAAUGGAAGAGAUGUGACAGAACAUGUCAGCACUGAGUUUGGGUUUUGUGAACUUUGCAGUUUUUAACA
Molecule: long non-coding RNA, 1740 nt
Organism: Sparus aurata (gilthead seabream)
Lineage: Eukaryota; Metazoa; Chordata; Actinopteri; Spariformes; Sparidae
Source: Ensembl